UUGACCCAAGAGAAAAAGAAAUAGGAGAGGAUUUUUCAUACAAAAAUCAUGAUCUACGAAGAUCCAACCGUUCAAACUCAAAUCCGAUUUCAGAAACGUGAUCUACGAAGCCCGAUCUACGUUUCUACCGAUUGGUUUAAGGAUUUGUUGUGAGAAGCUUGCUAAACACUCUCCAAGUGUUGUAAUGCAUUGCAUGGUGGUGUCUAGGAGACCUAAUGUUUAAUAUCUGGGCAGCCAAGGAUUAUCAGUUCUAUUCAGAGUCUUCAAGUAAUAUGGGCAGUGUCUCAUUUCAUGCCAUGAGUAUGGUCACAAGUUUCUAAAAAGAUGUCCAUGAAGAUUUCAUGCAAUUUCCAAGUCAGAACAGCUGGUUCCUGUGCAACCGUUCAGACGGACCUUUGAAUGAGUCCGGACGCCCCGCAGUGUCUAGAAGCUUCAGCGUUGAAGAACGUCCAGACGUUAGGGCAACACCGUUCGAACGCUAGGUCAAGCUAUUCAGAAUCCGAGAAGAAAUUGGAUUUCAUGUUCAGAUACGAAUCGUGAAACAGCAACCAUCCGGACGGAAGGGCAACACCGUCCGGACGCUUUUCAGGUUUCCAGGAAGAUUUCCGCACACGUCUCAAUGUUUUUAUCAUAACUCUCUGCUCGAGUAUCAAAUUGAGACGAAAUUUGUGUUGUUGGAAAGUUAAGAAAAAAUCCUACAACUUGAAUUUUCAAAAUUUUCGGUGUUGCCUUACAACUUGGUGUCGUUGGAACUGCCACCAGAAAUUCGAGAAUUUUCGGAAUUCCUUUUCAGACACGGAAACAGUUGACCGUCCGGACACCCUUUGCUUGCCAGUCGGACGCCGCCCAGAGGACUCCAAUUUUUAAUAGAAUUAGGUUUUUUUAAGUCUAUAAAUAGAGGUCUCUGGCCAUGUGUUUUGUACAGAAUUGAGUAUUGAAUUCUCUUAGCCGUUGCUGGUGUGUACUCCUUGUUCGUUUGAAGUCUAUCUUAGGGGUCGGCCCUAAGGUAAAGGAUUCCAUCAAAUUAAGACCCCUUCAAAUAGGAGACUUGGUUGGGAAGCGUUCACGAUGGCUCUUUGGAUAGUGAAUUUCCUGGGUUUGGCUGCCCCGGAGUGGUUUCUCUCUUCACAAAGUUUCCACUUCGUCAACAAAUAUCUUGUCCUUUUAUUUUCCACAUUUAAAAAUAUUUUUGUUGCACACAAACAUACACUUGGUUGUUAAAAGUCAAUUUAUUUUCAUAAAGGAAUGACAAUUCACAUGGUUCGUUCAAUGCAUUGU
Long non-coding RNA from Alnus glutinosa, 1278 nucleotides. RefSeq lists it as uncharacterized. The record is from RefSeq and is a predicted model, not a curated record. The transcript is spliced from 4 exons. NCBI's taxonomy places the organism in Eukaryota, Viridiplantae, Streptophyta, Magnoliopsida, Fagales, Betulaceae.